RNAcentral lists this long non-coding RNA (1549 nucleotides) under Homo sapiens (human). RNAcentral describes it as "HSALNT0346845". Lineage: Eukaryota; Metazoa; Chordata; Mammalia; Primates; Hominidae. The record is from RNAcentral.
CUCUUCACUUUAAUACGUGGUGCCCCGGGACGUUAUCAGAGCCAGCCACAGAUGCCACAUGUAAAGCAGCAAACAUCCGGAGUGGCUUCCUGCAAGCCUUGCUUUUCUCAACACAAGAGAUUUACGCAGGGGGUUGGGGGAAACAACUUUCACAAGUAAGAGCCGAGUACACCGCUCGCAUAGCCGUUCGGGUGCGUUAGCACUGCACGGUCCAGGGUCGCAGGGCUCCUGGCUACUAAUUGCGCUCACGUCCCCGGGUCCUUGGGCCGGACCCGAGGCUCUAAAGGCUGGGCAAGGAAGCGACUAGCGCACCAAGAAGCUGUGCCCGUUGCCAGUUGGGGCCUUUGGUCAGCGGGCGCAGAAAUUAACUCGGGUGUGGACUGCAAAAGGAUCCAUUCAGCUCAUGUGGUCCUCACAUCAGAACACAAUUGCACCCAGCACAGAGUGAACUCUCAUGCGGGUACUCUUUGAAGAUCAGAGAGGGGGCCAGGAUGUGGUCCAAGAUUUGCAAAUUUGGGUGAGAAACUUAUAGCCCCCACCUACCCCACCAAUCACUGGAAGCUGCUGACAUUUAUGAGAAGGAGGAGCCGACAGUGGAGGAUGACCAUGAGGGUGGAGGCUCACCACAAACUUGAAACCUUCAAGACCAUUAUCCAUUAACGGGGGAGGAGCACAGGUUCUGUGAGUCACAACUUGAGUUGUAUUAUAUUAAGUAAGGUAAAGACCGUCAACCACGGCAUAUGAGGUCAGGCCACGUUUUGCUGGUGGUUUUUAGAGCUGCUUGGGUUUUAGAAUUGUGGAUAAGGAGUGGUGGACUUGUACACAUUCUAACUCUGGUUUGCUAUUCAGUGUUGAGGAAGUUACUUCCCAGUGCCUCAGGAUAUAGUCACCUAGAUGUUGAGGAAUGACUUAUCUCCAGGAUUAAAGCAGUUGCUGCCACACACAGUGCCAUGAAUUUUAUAAGUAUCCUACAUAUGCGGUUCUUUGAGUGCUCACUACAGCAAUGAAAUCUGGCUAACUUCCCAGAGAGGGAACUGAUUGGAGGAAUAUGGGUGAAUGAAAACACCCAAAGGACGAGCUGAACAGUGAAGAAGAGUAAGACCCAGGGGAGCGGGGGGAGCGGGGAGAAUCAGCUCCUGUAUUUUCUGUGUGUGUUAUGGCAGUCAAAAUUGAGGGCCUGGAGGAGCCAUGUUUGCAAAGCUAAAUCAAAUUUCAGCCUCUUGCCUGAGGAAGCCAGCUCUUUGACUGUAGGAGGAACGGGACAGUUUCCAUCCCUCUACCCAUAACUCCAGCACCAAGAUCAUGUCUGGUGAGGACGAACUCAUUUGCGGUACCUUCUGUCCUCAGUAAAUGAUGCAUUGUAAACUCAUGGGGAAAGGAGCCAUCCAAAGAAAAAUAUGUAUCAUUUAUGUAACAUACCGUUUAAAGGUCUAGUUUCUUGUCUUGGUCCUGCUGCUUAUUAUGUGUGACCUUAAGUGAAUCACUCCAAGUCUCUCAUUUUUAUUUUAUUUUUUAUUUAUUUAUUUUGAGAUGGAGUCUUGCUCUGUCA